RNAcentral lists this ribosomal RNA (486 nucleotides) under uncultured bacterium. RNAcentral describes it as "partial 16S ribosomal RNA". It matches the Rfam family "Bacterial small subunit ribosomal RNA", at positions 28 to 507 of the family's 1533-position model. The record is from RNAcentral.
GAUGAACGUUAGCGGCAGGCUUAACACAUGCAAGUCGAGGGGCAGCGCGGGAUAGCAAUAUCCUGGCGGCGACCGGCGGAAGGGUGCGUAACGCGUGAGCGACAUGCCCGUUGCCCGGGGACAACCGGUGGAAACGCCGACUAAUCCCCGAUGGGAUAUUGUGCCGCAUGGCACGAUAUUGAAAGUUACGGCGGCGACGGAUUGGCUCGCGUCCGAUUAGCUGGUGGGCGGGGGAACGGCCCACCAAGGCUGCGAUCGGUAGGGGUUCUGAGAGGGAGGCCCCCCAACAGGGGACUGAGACACGGCCCAUACGACUACGGGAGGCAGCAGUGAGGAAUGUUGGUCAAUGGGCGGAAGCCUGAACCAGCCAUGCCGCGUGCGGGAAGGAGGCCCUGUGGGCUGUGAACCGCUUUUGCCUGGGGGCAAUAAGGGCGUCGCGCACGUCCGAUGAGAGUACCAGGCGAAUAAGCAUCGGCUAACUCCGUG